RNAcentral lists this unclassified non-coding RNA (308 nucleotides) under plant metagenome. RNAcentral's name for it is "partial contains 5.8S ribosomal RNA, internal transcribed spacer 2, and large subunit ribosomal RNA". The stretch from base 1 to 105 matches the Rfam family "5.8S ribosomal RNA", at positions 50 to 154 of the family's 154-position model. The record is from RNAcentral.
GAAAUGCGAUAAGUAAUGUGAAUUGCAGAAUUCAGUGAAUCAUCGAAUCUUUGAACGCACAUUGCGCCCCUUGGUAUUCCAUGGGGCAUGCCUGUUCGAGCGUCAUUUGUACCCUCAAGCUCUGCUUGGUGUUGGGUGUUUGUCCCCGUCUCCGCGCGUGGACUCGCCCCAAAGUGAUUGGCAGCCGGCGUACUGGUCCCGGAGCGCAGCACAUGUCGCGCAAACGAGUGCCUUGGUACGGCGGCGUCCAUAAGCCCCUCUCUCACGCUCUUGACCUCGGAUCAGGUAGGGAUACCCGCUGAACUUAA